AUUGAACGCUGGCGGCAGGCCUAACACAUGCAAGUCGAGCGGAUGAAGGGAGCUUGCUCCUGGAUUCAGCGGCGGACGGGUGAGUAAUGCCUAGGAAUCUGCCUGGUAGUGGGGGAUAACGUCCGGAAACGGGCGCUAAUACCGCAUACGUCCUGAGGGAGAAAGUGGGGGAUCUUCGGACCUCACGCUAUCAGAUGAGCCUAGGUCGGAUUAGCUAGUUGGUGGGGUAAGGGCCUACCAAGGCGACGAUCCGUAACUGGCCUGAGAGGAUGAUCAGUCACACUGGAACUGAGACACGGUCCAGACUCCUACGGGAGGCAGCAGUGGGGAAUAUUGGACAAUGGGCGAAAGCCUGAUCCAGCCAUGCCGCGUGUGUGAAGAAGGUCUUCGGAUUGUAAAGCACUUUAAGUUGGGAGGAAGGGCAGUAAGUUAAUACCUUGCUGUUUUGACGUUACCAACAGAAUAAGCACCGGCUAACUUCGUG
This 484-nucleotide ribosomal RNA is filed under the name uncultured bacterium. Its description in RNAcentral is "partial 16S ribosomal RNA". It matches the Rfam family "Bacterial small subunit ribosomal RNA", at positions 30 to 507 of the family's 1533-position model. The record is from RNAcentral.